AAACUAACAAGGAUUCCCCUAGUAGCGGCGAGCGAAGCGGGAAGAGCUCAAAUUUGUAAUCUGGCACCUUCGGUGUCCGAGUUGUAAUCUCGAGAAGUGUUUUCCGCGCCAGACCGCAUAUAAGUCUGUUGGAAUACAGCGUCAUAGUGGUGAGAACCCCGUAUAUGAUGCGGAUGCCUGGUGCUCUGUGAUACACUUUCGAAGAGUCGAGUUGUUUGGGAAUGCAGCUCAAAUUGGGUGGUAAAUUCCAUCUAAAGCUAAAUAUUGGCGAGAGACCGAUAGCGAACAAGUACCGUGAGGGAAAGAUGAAAAGCACUUUGGAAAGAGAGUUAACAGUACGUGAAAUUGUUGGAAGGGAAACGCUUGAAGUCAGACUUGCUAUUUGGAAUUCAGCCGCAAGGUGUAUUUUUCAAUUUGCAGGCCAGCAUCAGUUUUCGGGGGUGGAAAAGGAUUAGGAGAAGGUAGCAGUUUCGGCUGUGUUAUAGCUCUUAAUUGGAUUCAUCCCUGGGGACUGAGGAACGCAGCUUCGGCUUAGGAUGCUGGUGGAAUGGCUUUAAACGAC
Molecule: ribosomal RNA, 562 nt
Filed under: Pseudohyphozyma bogoriensis
Lineage: Eukaryota; Fungi; Basidiomycota; Microbotryomycetes; Chrysozymaceae
Description: partial large subunit ribosomal RNA
Rfam family: Eukaryotic large subunit ribosomal RNA
Source: RNAcentral